Molecule: non-coding RNA, 31 nt
Filed under: Mus musculus (house mouse)
Lineage: Eukaryota; Metazoa; Chordata; Mammalia; Rodentia; Muridae
Source: RNAcentral
UGAGACAAUCAGAGAGAAUGCACUCUACCCC